This is a long non-coding RNA of Helianthus annuus (common sunflower), 1956 nucleotides long. RefSeq lists it as uncharacterized. The transcript is spliced from 9 exons. The record is from RefSeq and is a predicted model, not a curated record. Lineage: Eukaryota; Viridiplantae; Streptophyta; Magnoliopsida; Asterales; Asteraceae.
CUUAUUUCAAAACAUUUCAAAAUGCCCGCUCCUCUCUCUCUCUCUCUCUCUCUCUCUCUUCGGCGAUUCCAGAUCUGGAUCUAGGGUUUUUCUCCAUCACGUUUCUACUACUCCAAUUCCUCAUGGAAAUCAUACAGUCCUCUCAAAAUCAAACUCAAGUCUAGGUUUUGAACUUCACGGAGAGUUGAAGAUGAUGCAAGCUGUUGUUUUAAUUGGUGGUGGUUAGCAACGAUAGAGAUGGUGGUGGUCUGCGGCUUGUGGUGGUAAUGGUUAGCGUCAACAGAUUCUGGUGACCCAACCUAGGGUUUAGAGUUUCGACCAGAUUCUGGUAGCCCUAUAUAGGGUUCUGACCAUAACCCUAAUCCGGUGAAAGUUGUAGAUCUGGUCAGUAAGGGAAUGACAACGAAUCUGCUUUCAGUUGCAAACUCUGUAGUAUCAUUAGAUAAAGAUUGAAACAUGAAGAUUUCUCCCAGAUCCGAUUUAGGUCUCGCAGAUCUGUCAUUAAUCGGAAGGUUACGAAUCAAAAGAUGUACCUCAGCUUCUGGACAUCAUCUUUACCAAAGAGUGGCGGGUGGGGUUCACCAGACCAAACAUGUACACAGGUAGGCUCAUUGCCCUUAUUUUUCAGGGGGUCAUUGCCGAGCAGAGUUUACUCAUGCUUCUUCAUGGUAGAUGAUUCGACUAUUAAGUUAAUGCAUUAGGUACAAGUUCAUUAAAGCGGUGAAGUUUUGGGUUGCUUGUGUGGAGACUUGAUUAGCAUGGGUGGCCCGACAUCAACAACAGGCGGCGGCUAGGGUUCCGACCACCCGGUAAACGGACUUGCAUCGGAAGAGUUUGCAGCUCGUAAUGAUUUGGUUCGCAAUACCUGAUAGGGGGUGCUGUUGCGCCCAAUCAGACUGGAGGUUGGGCUGCGUCAGUAUCUCGUACAAAUAAUAUCAAGUUUGAUUCAGGUGAUCUGUUUGUUCAGUUUGCCGGAUGUAUAUAAAUGGACGAUUUGAUUAUGAUGAAUACUUUCAGCAAAGUGAAGAGUCGAGCCAAUUCAGGAAUGAAUAUGAAAUGAGAAAGAUGAAGCAGGCUUGAUCAAGGCUUGGAUAUGAAAUCAGAAGGUCUCGAUACUUUGAAAAACAUGGCACAUACGAGAGGAGGAUCAAACCUUCUAACCAAGUUCCGUUGAAGAUUCCAGCAACUCCAUUAAGGUUGUUUCACAAUUUUAUUAUAGGUUUGUUUUUUCACUGGAGAACAAACGACACCCAUAAAGAUUGAAUCUUUAGGUGAUAAAGAUCAUCUUUUGUUGGUAAAGUUGGAGUCCUUUUAUGUAAUGUGAAGUGGGUAUUGUUGUUUCAAGAUUUUGAAGGUGUUUGAUUUGAAGUGGGUCCUGAUUGAACAGAUCUUGAUGUUGUUAAUAGAUGGUUCUAGAAGGUCUAUGCUUUUUGUGUGUGUGGAAGUUGGUGUGUGUGAAUUCGGAGAAGGUAAAUUUAGUGUUUAUAACCUUAUGUGUGAGCUCGGUUUGUUCAGGCGGGAAUAACUCAUUUCACAAGUGUUUUUAGAGUUUCUUUGCUUUAACAAUGGCAAGAUUAGUAGUGUGUCAAUCAAGCUCGUUUGCACCCGAUACAAGUAAAGCCAAAAGCUUUGCGGUCUCAGUUUUUGCUAUUCCAGAUCGGAAGUCAGAGAUUGACCCAAGUGAUGAAUCUGGUGUGACUUUGGACACGGUCAAAGGGGAAAUCAAGCUCGUUUGCACCCUAUACAAGUAAAGCCAAAAGCUUUGCGGUCUCAGUUUUUGCGAUUCUAGAUCGGAAGUCAGAGAUUGACCCAAGUGAUGAAUCUGGUGUGACUUUGGACUCGGUCAAAGGGGAAAUCGACAUCGAGCUUAGACACAUUAGUUUUAAAUAUCCGGUCCAGACCUGAUGUUGAGAUAUUUGGUGACAUAUGCUUAAAAAAAAAUCCUUUUGUGCAAAA